CUGGGCAACAGAGUGAGACUCCAUCUCAAAAAAAAAAAAAAAAGAAGAAGAAUAGAUUGAACCUGGGAGGCAGAGGUUGUAGUGAGCCAAGAUUGUGCCACUGCACUCCAGCCUGGGCGACAGAGUUAAGCCUCUGUCUCAAAGAAAGAAAGAGAAAGAAAAGAGGAGAGAGGAAUGUCAACUUAAUUAAUUGUUUAAAAAGAGGAAAAACUGUGUUGUAUGUGUGUGGAUUUGUCUGUUUGCUUAUUAAUUCCAGUGCUUUUUUUUGUUUUCUAUUUAUGUCAUUUAAUUAUUAAUUAAUGUCAUUUAAUUUUAAAUGAGAAAUUAUGCCUCAUGUAAAAGUUUUUUUGUAAAAGGCUAGGCUGAGAUUCAUUCAUUGCCUCACCAUGGAUGCCACCAUGAGUCUAACUCUGCUGUCUCAGCUCUGCAAACACAGAUGAUAGAUGGGCAUCUCAUCUGAACAUCAUUAGGUCCAGGGAACACUUGUCCAUGCCACCCUGACUGACUUUAAUCCAGUGGGUGUUUGUUGAGUGUCUGCUACCUGCAACACCAGCCAGGUGGCUUGAUAUGGUAAAGACGCAAGAAAUGUUAGCUUAACAUAUUGAUGCAAGCUACUGUAGUUGGCCCUGGGGAGAAGGGAAGUAUAAAAAUGAACAAAGUGUAGUCUUCAUCUCCUUGAGGCUUACAAUCCAGGGACAGACAGGACAAGUAAUUAUUAGUCAAGCUGACCAUACUGUGUGUUAUCAAGGAGGAAGGAAGUUCUAUGGAAGUACAGAGGAAACAGGAGGGUGGGAAAAGUGGGAAGGCAGGGGAGGUGUCCAUAGGAAAGGAACACCAGGCAACAGGAAGAACACAGGCAGAGCUGGGUGGACACCAAUUGAGAAACUUGGGAAUAACACCGCAUGGCAAGAGUGGAGAGUGGUCUGGAGCAGCAUGGAGGAGGCGUGGUGGAAGAUGGGGCUGGAGAUGCCAGUCAUUCUGAGGGUGCUUGGGGACCUGUCAGAUGGUUUAGAGCAGGGAGUGAGGCAUCAGAUUUGUGUUUUAGAAGAAGGUGAAGAGAAUGGAUUGGAGUAGGGGAAGUGCCAUUGGGAGGCUAUUGUAAUGUUUCACUGGAUAAAUGACAGGGCUUGACUGAGAGCAGUGGAAAUGAAAUUGAGGUUACUCAAGAAUGAUUUGUCUUCGAAAGCCAAUCUGUGAAUUUAUAAUGGGCAUGAACUUACCAACCACUGGAAUGAUUAGGUCAGCUGGCCGGAACACUACUUUUAAAAGUGAAGUCCAUUAAUAAUCAAAAGAUUACUGGCUGAAAGUGAAGUGAAGGCAAAAGGAGUUGGAUGGUCUGAGAGGACCUUUUACCCCAUCGAUAGUAGUUUUUACAUAGCAGUAAUACUAAAGCUUAAUCUUUGGUGGGUUGUUGUUCUCUCUGGAGAGAUACUUGGCCUGCCACAAAAGGAGGAGCUGCUUCUCUGGCCAGCACUGGACAGAAGCUGGCCAGCAUAUUCCAGGAUCUUUGGUUUGCAAGAAAGUGAGCUUGCUCAGAUUAGCAGGUAGAAUGAGGAAUAAUCGUAAGGAAAGGAAAUAUUCCAACUCCAAAGCUAGAAAGCCAGCCAGGCCUCAGGGGACUCAGAUAUCAAUCAGGCACUUUCUCCUCCCUUCUCCCCUCCAUGCCCAGUGAGAAUCUGCUUUCUUCCCCUCUACCCCAAUCACUGGUCCUUCUGAGGCCGUGCACUUACAUGGGCCCCAUUACCACUUCUCCAAAAUGGUGGCAUUGCCCCCUAGGCUUUCUAGCCUUGUAGUCUGCUCCUCACAGCUGACCCAGUCUCUGUGUCCCAAGUGCUAAUACCCAGAAGAGAGGAUCCUAAUGGCCCAGGUUGGGUCAGAUGUCGUUCUCUAAGCAGGCUAAAGAUGUGAUGUGACAGAUGCUUUGAGAAAAAACAAAAUAGUAGUAAAGAAUGGGUAACUCUAAUAUAUUUUAAACGUUUCUGGACUUCAUGUUAACCCAGUGUAUUGGUUGUCUAUGACUAUAUAACAAGGCACCCUAAAAUGUAGCAGCUUAAAACAGCAAGCAUUUAUUACGUCACAGUUCUGUGGGUCAGGAAUGCAAGAAGAGCUUAGUUGAGUGUUUUUGUCUCAGGGUCUCUCAUGAGUUUAUAGUUAAGCUGGCCCCUGGGGCUGCAGUACUGUGAAGGGUAGGCUGGGGAUGAUCUGUUUCCAAGCUCACCCGUGAGGCGGUCUGGCUACCAGCAGGAUGCCUAAGCUAUUAGCUAUUGGCUGGAGACUUCAGUUCCUCACCACAUGGGUCUGUCCAUAGACUCUCUGAGUGUCCUCAUGACAUGGCAGCCAGCUUCUCCCAGAGUGAGCGAUCCAGAGAGCACCCAAGAUGGGAAGCUUCUGCCCUAUCCUAUUGGUCACCCAAACCAACCCUGGUACACAGUAGGAGGGAGGAUGCACAAAGGUGAGAAUACCAGGAGGUGAGGCUUGCUAGGGGCCAUCUUGGAAGUUAGUUACCAUAUCUGGUCAAGAAACAUUCCUUUAGUGCCUACUGUGUGCCAAGUGCCGGGACUGGGAGCUACAUGACACAGAGUCUGUCCUAGAGCAUCAAGCUCACUGUCUGGGCUGGAGAAG
This 2622-nucleotide long non-coding RNA is filed under the name Homo sapiens (human). RNAcentral describes it as "long non-coding RNA NONHSAT207284.1". The record is from RNAcentral. Lineage: Eukaryota; Metazoa; Chordata; Mammalia; Primates; Hominidae.